CUGGUUAUGUAAUGAAAUUGUACAAGCUUAAUUUAUAUGAAUGAUCUAAUGGUUGUUAUUUGAAAUUGAAAGCAUAGUUUAUAUGUUCACGGAUAAAUAAGCCUAAUGAAGUUACUUAAUGUGGUGAUGUUGGAUUAUAUAAGAUAAGUGAUUGAAUAUGUGUAUGAAGUUAACUAAAUUUGGCUUAUUCAAGUUGAAUUAUAUAUAUGAUCUUGUGAAUUUUUAUUUGCUUAUGGCUCACUAAGCCCUCGAAGCUUAUUCUAUGUGUUUUUCCUAUGUUUAUAGAUUUUUGGAUAUCUUCUUGGGUUGGAAGUCGAAGGAGAUGUCAUUAC
This 332-nucleotide long non-coding RNA is filed under the name Gossypium barbadense (sea-island cotton). RNAcentral describes it as "long non-coding RNA (GBAR_LNC023061)". Lineage: Eukaryota; Viridiplantae; Streptophyta; Magnoliopsida; Malvales; Malvaceae. The record is from RNAcentral.